GGAUGUAAGGGCAAUCUGGCUGGGAUAUCUGUGACCCCAUUGGUGGCCAGCAUUGAUCCAGCUGAUCUGGCUGGUUGGGCAGGUGUCCUCUUCCUUUCUCACCACUCCACAUGCAUCCCUCCUGAAGCUGAGUGCUUGGUUGGAGAGGACGACCUUCCCCAACAGAGCAGCACCAUUAUUCUUCAGUCAAGGGUAGAUGAGUAGCUGCACUUCCCUGCUAGAACCUCUAAACAAGCUCUCAGAAUAGAUCGCUGAUGCAGUUCUUUCUCAGUUGAUGGAUUUAAUUCAGCCAGCAUUUAUAGAUCACCUGCUGGAUGCUUGUGACU
Otolemur garnettii (small-eared galago) is the source of this 326-nucleotide unclassified non-coding RNA. Its record names the gene 7SK. It matches the Rfam family "7SK RNA". Rfam says of the family: 7SK was discovered as an abundant small nuclear RNA in the mid-70s but a possible function has only recently been suggested. NCBI's taxonomy places the organism in Eukaryota, Metazoa, Chordata, Mammalia, Primates, Galagidae. The record is from Ensembl.